CUCGUAGGCGGUUUGUUAAGUCGGAUGUGAAAGCCCCGGGCUCAACCUGGGAACUGCAUUCGAUACUGGCAAACUAGAGUAUAGAAGAGGCAAGUGGAAUUCCAGGUGUAGCGGUGAAAUGCGUAGAUAUCUGGAGGAACAUCAGUGGCGAAGGCGACUUGCUGGUCUAAUACUGACGCUGAGGAGCGAAAGCGUGGGGAGCGAACAGGAUUAGAUACCCUGGUAGUCC
Molecule: ribosomal RNA, 229 nt
Filed under: uncultured bacterium
Lineage: Bacteria
Description: partial 16S ribosomal RNA
Rfam family: Bacterial small subunit ribosomal RNA
Source: RNAcentral